UGACCGGGAAGUGGUUGAUGCCAUGCUUCCAGGAAAAUCUUCUAAGCUUCAGGUUAUAAGGAACCGUACCCCAAACCGACACAGGUGGUUGGGAUGAGUAUUCUAAGGCGCUUGAGAGAACUCGGGUGAAGGAACUAGGCAAAAUUGUACCGUAACUUCGGGAGAAGGUACGCCGCUGACGGUGACGAGACUUGCUCUCUGAGCUAUUGGCGGUCGCAGUGAAAAGGCCCCUGCAACUGUUUAUUAAAAACACAGCACUCUGCAAACGCGUAAGCGGACGUAUAGGGUGUGACGCCUGCCCGGUGCCGGAAGGUUAAUUGAUGGGGUUAGCUUCGGCGAAGCUCUUGAUCGAAGCCCCGGUAAACGGCGGCCGUAACUAUAACGGUCCUAAGGUAGCGAAAUUCCUUGUCGGGUAAGUUCCGACCUGCACGAAUGGCGUAAUGAUGGGGGCGCUGUCUCCACCCGAGACUCAGUGAAAUCGAAAUCGCAGUGAAGAUGCUGUGUACCCGCGGCUAGACGGAAAGACCCCGUGAACCUUUACUAUAGCUUCACAGUGGACUUUGAACCUGCUUGUGUAGGAUAGCUGGGAGACUUUGAAGCGGUGACGCUAGUCAUCGUGGAGUCGUCCUUGAAAUACCAGCCUGGCAUGUUUGAGGUUCUAACCUAGGUCCAUUAUCUGGAUCGGGGACAUUGUGUGGUGGGUAGUUUGACUGGGGCGGUCUCCUCCCAAAGAGUAACGGAGGAGCACAAAGGUACCCUCAGCACGGUCGGACAUCGUGCAACGAGCGUAAAGGUAGAAGGGUGCUUGACUGCGAGACCUACAAGUCGAGCAGGUGCGAAAGCAGGUCUUAGUGAUCCGGUGGUUCUGUAUGGAAGGGCCAUCGCUCAACGGAUAAAAGGUACUCCGGGGAUAACAGGCUGAUACCGCCCAAGAGUUCAUAUCGACGGCGGUGUUUGGCACCUCGAUGUCGGCUCAUCUCAUCCUGGGGCUGAAGCCGGUCCCAAGGGUAUGGCUGUUCGCCAUUUAAAGAGGUACGCGAGCUGGGUUUAGAACGUCGUGAGACAGUUCGGUCCCUAUCUGCCGUGGGCGUUGGAGAUUUGAGAGGAGCUGCUCCUAGUACGAGAGGACCGGAGUGGACGAACCUCUGGUGUUCCGGUUGUCACGCCAGUGGCAUUGCCGGGUAGCUACGUUCGGACGGGAUAACCGCUGAAAGCAUCUAAGCGGGAAGCCUCCCUCAAGAUGAGAUCUCCCUGGGAACUUGAUUCCCCUGAAGGGCCGUUGAAGACCACAACGUUGAUAGGCUGGGUGUGGAAGCGUUGUAAGGCGUGAAGCUAACCAGUACUAAUUGCCCGUGAGGCUUGACUAUAUAACACCAAAGCAGU
This 1383-nucleotide ribosomal RNA is filed under the name Alcanivorax sp. HI0011. RNAcentral's name for it is "bacterial LSU rRNA". It matches the Rfam family "Bacterial large subunit ribosomal RNA", at positions 1580 to 2925 of the family's 2925-position model. Lineage: Bacteria; Pseudomonadati; Pseudomonadota; Gammaproteobacteria; Oceanospirillales; Alcanivoracaceae. The record is from RNAcentral.